AGAUUGAACGCUGGCGGCAGGCCUAACACAUGCAAGUCGAGCGGUAGAGAGGUGCUUGCAUCUCUUGAGAGCGGCGGACGGGUGAGUAAUGCCUAGGAAUCUGCCUAGUGGUGGGGGAUAACGUUCGGAAACGGACGCUAAUACCGCAUACGUCCUACGGGAGAAAGCGGGGGACCUUCGGGCCUCGCGCCAUUAGAUGAGCCUAGGUCGGAUUAGCUAGUUGGUGAGGUAAUGGCUCACCAAGGCGACGAUCCGUAACUGGUCUGAGAGGAUGAUCAGUCACACUGGAACUGAGACACGGUCCAGACUCCUACGGGAGCAGCAGUGGGGAAUAGUUGGACAA
Molecule: ribosomal RNA, 343 nt
Filed under: uncultured soil bacterium
Lineage: Bacteria
Description: bacterial SSU rRNA
Rfam family: Bacterial small subunit ribosomal RNA
Source: RNAcentral